GACGAACGCUGGCGGCGUGCUUAACACAUGCAAGUCGAACGGUAAGGCCCUUCGGGGUACACGAGUGGCGAACGGGUGAGUAACACGUGGGUGAUCUGCCCUGCACUUCGGGAUAAGCCUGGGAAACUGGGUCUAAUACCGGAUAGGACCACUGCCUACAUGGGGGGCGGUGGAAAGCUUUUGCGGUGUGGGAUGGGCCCGCGGCCUAUCAGCUUGUUGGUGGGGUGAGGGCCUACCAAGGCGACGGCGGGUAGCCGGCCUGAGAGGGUGACCGGCCACACUGGGACUGAGAUACGGCCCAGACUCCUACGGGAGGCAGCAGUGGGGAAUAUUGCACAAUGGGCGCAAGCCUGAUGCAGCGACGCCGCGUGAGGGAUGACGGCCUUCGGGUUGUAAACCUCUUUCAGCACCGACGAAGCGCAAGUGACGGUAGGUGCAGAAGAAGGACCGGCCAACUACGUGCCAGCAGCCGCCGUAA
RNAcentral lists this ribosomal RNA (478 nucleotides) under uncultured bacterium. RNAcentral's name for it is "partial 16S ribosomal RNA". It matches the Rfam family "Bacterial small subunit ribosomal RNA", at positions 28 to 523 of the family's 1533-position model. The record is from RNAcentral.